Long non-coding RNA from Myzus persicae (green peach aphid), 158 nucleotides. RefSeq lists it as uncharacterized. The transcript is spliced from 4 exons. NCBI's taxonomy places the organism in Eukaryota, Metazoa, Arthropoda, Insecta, Hemiptera, Aphididae. The record is from RefSeq and is a predicted model, not a curated record.
AGAGUUAAGACUUAGAGUAGGGACCAAUGUUGCACGAGCAUACAAACAAUUUGUUCUGAAACUAGCUAAUCAACAGACUAAUGAUUGGUUUAAUGACUUCUGUAAGAUACAAAUUGAAAAUAAUAAGUACGUAGACUUUCUGAACAAUAUGUUUGAAA